This 609-nucleotide ribosomal RNA is filed under the name Triticum aestivum (bread wheat). RNAcentral's name for it is "partial small subunit ribosomal RNA". The record is from RNAcentral. Lineage: Eukaryota; Viridiplantae; Streptophyta; Magnoliopsida; Poales; Poaceae.
AUGCACUACCCUGAUCCCUCUCUUCCUUCUACUAUAAAUCCAUGGCCUGCUCAGCACAAACUUCAUCUCAUCUGUAAACAACAUCACACUCUACAACACACUUUCAGACUUUCGGAGCCAGCCAGGAACACAUCAGACUCUACCAUGAUCCAUCCAAAGAAGCUUGCUCAGCUGGCCAAGAAGUGCCAGCGGAUGUUGGCAGCCGGGACCGAUGCUCGCCACCGGCAGCAUGCCUCAGACAUGGUCGACGAUGAUCGCUGCAGCACAGCGUCAUCUGUGGUUGCCGAUGAGGGCCAUUGCAUGGUGUACAGCACCGACGGAACACGGUUUGAGGUCCCUCUGGCGUACCUCGGGACAACGGUCUUCGCUGAGCUCCUGAGGAUGUCUGAGGAGGAGUUUGGGUUCGCAAGCGGCAGCGAUGGAGGCAGGAUCACGCUGCCCUGUGACACCACGGUGAUGGAGUACGUCUUGUGCCUUAUCAGGAGAGAGGCCUCUGAGGAGGUUGAGAGGGCAUUCUUGAGCUCUAUUGCUGAGCAUUGCCACAACUACAGUGCUAGUUGUGUGGCGCCAUCGAUGGGACUCAGCCAUCAAUUUGCUCUUUGUACUUAG